CUACUUGGGAUGCUGAGGCUGGAUAAUCCCUUGAACCUGGGAAGCAGAAGAGGUUGCAGUGAGCCAAGAUUGUGCCACUGCACUCCAGCUUAGGUGACGAAAAGAAAAUUGGAAGGAAAUUUCACAAACAGAGAAAGACCUUUCUUCUUACUACUUUGAGAAACCUGUGAAGUGAAAUCAUUGGCUCAUGAUCACCCAUGUCUCCCAAGACAUCUUCUUGCCUACUCUGCAGGAGGCUGGAGCCAUGUCUGAGCAGCAUGAGAAAGCCUACAUGAGGCCCCUGGCACAUCCGAGGUGUGUGGGGCACCGGGGCCCCCAGAAGAGGAGCCUUUGGAUCUGAUGGGAGCAAGGGCUCUACUGAGGCUGCCAGAGAUGCCCUCGGUAAUGGGGGUGACAUAGAGGUGCCAGCACAGCCUGUCAGGCAACGAGGGAAGGAGGGACGGUGGGUCUGACUCAAAGGACACGAGCUGCCUUUGCUGUAGUGCAACCGUGGCCCAUUGCUCAUUGUGCUGCUCUCAGGACUCAGAGUAUGGAAGCGGGACCAUUGCCGUUACAAACCCGCAGGGAAGGGGCUGAGCACCCGGAGGGCUGUGUGUGCACACAUGACGUUAUCGGAGUCAGGAAGGCAGCCAGCCGCGAGGAGAUGGGAAACUGGUCCACGGCACCCGGGGAGACCUUCACAGCCCACGCAUUAGCCCUCGUCAGCCGGUGUCCCGGCGCUCCCCACAAACCCAGACUCUCUCCUUGGCUAACAAUGGCCUCCACCAGCCGACCUCUUUGAGCCUCUGUGUUCUCAUUUCUUCCAUCUGCCACACAUGAUGCCACAAGGUCCCUGCUCUGUCUCUCCAACAUGCCACUCAUUCCUGACUCACAGCCUUCAUGCUCACACCCCUCCCUUGUCCUAUCCUCACUCUCAGUCAUCCUGUUCAAUGCCUUCAUGGCACUUAUCAUAAGCUCUUACGAUCAUGUUUAUAGGUCUGGUUUCAUUGUUGCUGUAGGGGGGUCUGUCUCCCCCAUUUAGGCCUAACAGGCCAGGAAUCUUGUCUGUCUGAUUUACUCCUAACAUAUGUUAAGUGUUCAAUAAAUUUUUGCUGAAUAAAUGAAGGAAAAAAAUCAU
This is a long non-coding RNA of Homo sapiens (human), 1117 nucleotides long. RefSeq lists it as uncharacterized. NCBI's taxonomy places the organism in Eukaryota, Metazoa, Chordata, Mammalia, Primates, Hominidae. The record is from RefSeq and is a predicted model, not a curated record. The transcript is spliced from 3 exons.